Molecule: ribosomal RNA, 253 nt
Filed under: uncultured bacterium
Lineage: Bacteria
Description: partial 16S ribosomal RNA
Rfam family: Bacterial small subunit ribosomal RNA
Source: RNAcentral
GACGUAGGGUGCGAGCGUUGUCCGGAUUUAUUGGGCGUAAAGAGCUCGUAGGCGGCUCGUCGCGUCAGCUGUGAAAACCCGCAGCUUAACUGUGGGCUUGCAGCUGAUACGGGCGGGCUAGAGUUCGGUAGGGGAGACUGGAAUUCCUGGUGUAGCGGUGAAAUGCGCAGAUAUCAGGAGGAACACCGGUGGCGAAGGCGGGCCUCUGGGCCGAUACUGACGCUGAGGAGCGAAAGCGUGGGGAGCGAACAGG